AGCAGCCGCGGUAAUUCCAGCUCCAAUAGCGUAUAUUAAAGUUGUUGCAGUUAAAAAGCUCGUAGUUGAAUUUCGGGGUCUGUCCGUCGGUCGGGCUUCACGGUCCGUACUGGUGUGAUGGGUUCCUACCUUCUGAAUAACCGGCAUGCCAUUCAGUUGGUGCGCCGGGGAAGCAGAGCUAUUACCUUGAAAAAUUAGAGUGCUUAAAGCAGGCUAGUGCUUGAAUAGAUUAGCAUGGAAUAAUAAAAUAGGACGGCAUGGUUCUAUUUUGUUGGUUUCUAGGAUCACCGUAAUGAUUAAUAGGGAUAGUUGGGGGCAUUAGUAUUCAAUUGUCAGAGGUGAAAUUCUUGGAUUUAUUGAAGACUAACUUCUGCGAAAGCAUUUGCCAAGGAUGUUUUCAUUAAUCAAGAACGAAAGUUAGGGGAUCGAAGACGACCAGAUACCGUCGUAGUCUUAACCAUAAACUAUG
This 469-nucleotide ribosomal RNA is filed under the name uncultured Acaulospora. Its description in RNAcentral is "SSU rRNA". It matches the Rfam family "Eukaryotic small subunit ribosomal RNA", at positions 569 to 1041 of the family's 1831-position model. Lineage: Eukaryota; Fungi; Glomeromycota; Glomeromycetes; Diversisporales; Acaulosporaceae. The record is from RNAcentral.